UACAGAACGGGACACCAUGGGAGAGGGAGUGCUGCAAGGGUCGCACCACACCCUCCAACACACACACACACACACACACACACACACACACACACACACACACACACACACACACACACACACACACAACCUCACACACACACACACACACACACACACACACACACACACACACACACACACACACACACACACACACAACCUCACACAUACACACACACAAACACACACACACACACACACACACACACACACACACACACACACACACACACACACACACACACCACACUAUACAACCAAGGUCACACAACGAUAUACACACACCUGCCUGUCUGUUUCCACUCUCUAGGAAUGCAUUCUGAUCCACCAUAACUUGCAGGGUUGUACUGGGUAGCCCCCCCCUAGUGGCGACACAAGGAAUAUCACCAGUAAUGCUCUGGUUAUGAUUUGCCAUCUGAUGGGUUUUCAGAGGGGAAGAUGGACGUAGACAAGGACCUGGAUCAUCACAUGGACCACCAUAGGACCAGACAGCAUAUACCAGGAGGUUCAAAGACCCUGACAGCCCACCACCAGAAGUCUUCAUCUUGGACCCAGCAGACCAGCGCUAACCGGUCCAUGGAGGCUUCAGCAGUACCACAGCAAGACCCCAGACAAUCCACAAGGCCCUGUUACCCGGGCAGAGACCAGGCGGUAGCAGACCUCGCCUGUCCUCUAGUAUCCAUGGCAACAGAGGACUCAAGUACAGAGAUGGCCCAGAGAACAUGGAACGGACGAAAGAAGGAUGUGAGGAAGAAGAGGAGAGGAGAUGAGGAGCUAGGGAGGGCAGAGGAUUUCUCUGAGGACGAUGGCAGGCUCUGUCCACCGCCAGCCAAUAGCGGACAGGCUGCUAAGACUGCAGCCAAUAGGCAUACGUGUGUCACUUCAGGGGAGGAGGACCUAUCCCCCCCAUCCAGCCCCCCAGGAGGCCAUUGUAGGAGCAGGAAGGAGGAUAGAGAAAACUCAAACACAGGACAGGACUUGCCUGGGAGUCAGACAGGAAGUAGAACUCACCGGGACCAGAAGAAGAGAGGCAGGAGGGGGCGGAGCCUGUCAAAGCAACCACAAAAGGGUGAUCGACCAAUCAGGGACCAGGAGGAAGAGAGGAGCGACCGCCAAGAGGAUACAGAAACUCACAACACUGCGAUCUCCAUGGUUACGGUAGAUACAAUGUACUUGAUACAUGCGUUAUAUAUAUAUAUAUAUACAAGGCUGUUAAUUGAUGAUUGAUUGUUGGUGGAUGUCAUCAAAUCCUUCUGUCAGAGAGACCCAAGAAGAGAGAGGGGUGAGGAGAGGAGAAGGAGGCAGACAGGAG
Molecule: long non-coding RNA, 1354 nt
Filed under: Gadus morhua (Atlantic cod)
Lineage: Eukaryota; Metazoa; Chordata; Actinopteri; Gadiformes; Gadidae
Description: lncRNA (ENSGMOG00000034309.1)
Source: RNAcentral